RNAcentral lists this long non-coding RNA (5113 nucleotides) under Olea europaea subsp. europaea. The record is from RNAcentral. Lineage: Eukaryota; Viridiplantae; Streptophyta; Magnoliopsida; Lamiales; Oleaceae.
AUUAAUGUCAACAGAAAGCAACAUAUCAGGGCAUAAAUUCUGUGAUUGACUCAUCAAUCGAAAGCAACAUAUCAAGGGCAUAAAUUCUGUGAUUGACUCAUCAAUAGAAAGCAACAUAUCAAGGGCAUAAAUUCUGUAAUUGACUCAUUAAUCUAGGCUGUAAAUAGGAGUAGAGAUUUGGCUUACCAUAUGUAAGUUACCAGAUAUAGCUCCCUAAAAUCACUUUACGUAAUUAGCAUUUAUAGUUUAAGUUUCCUUGUAUAGUGGUUAAUUUUACCUAUAUAAAUGAAAGACCUUCUCAGAAGAGAAGACAAUUCAAACCAUUUUGAUAUGGUAUCAGAGCCAUAGUCUAAGAAAUAUAUAUUUUUUCAGUCAUAGCCUCAAGAAUUAUGGAGAAGUCAAAUAAUGUUUGUGUUAGAUUCACUGGCAAAAAUUAUUCUGCCUGGGAGUUUCAACUGGAAACAUUUCUCAAAAGAAAAUAGCUCUGGGGUCAUAUAGAUGGGAGCAACAAUGGAGGUUCUACUGCUGCUGACAUAACCAGAUCAUGUUGUGGAUUCUUAGUUCUAUGGAACCAUAUCCGAUUCUUGCUUUGCGUCCCCAUAGGUCUGCAAAGGCUAUGUGGGAUUAUCUCAAGCAAGUCUAUAACCAAAACAACAAUGCUAGGCGUUUCUAGCUUGAGUUGGCUAUUACUAACUAUACCUAAGGAGACCUAUCUAUUCAAGAUUAUUACUUUGGUUUCCUGACUUUGUGGAAUGAUUAUUCAAACCUUGUUACAGCCAAGGUCUCUGCAGAAGGGUUGGAGGUAGUACAACACAUACACAAAACCAGCCAAAGAGACCAAUUUCUGAGGAAAUUAAGGUCUGAUUUUGAAUCCGUUCGUGCCUCUCUAGUAAAUAGAGAUCCUGUUCCAACUUUGGAGGCAUGUUUUGGAGAACUCUUGCAUGAGGAACAACGUCUCAAUACUCAAAAUAUUAUGGAGCAGGCACGUGUUUCUUCUAAUCCUGUCUCAGUUGCCUAUGUUGCUCAUAGUAAGGGAAAGGGACGUGAUAUGAGCACCACACAGUGCUAUAGUUGUAAGAAGUAUGACCAUAUUGCUCCUCACUACCCUCAGAAAGUGUGUAACUACUGCAAGCAAUCAGGGCACAUUAUUAAAGAGUGUCAUGUUCGUCCUUCGCGUUCCAAUAAGGCUUCUCAUGUUGCUGUUACUUUUGCUGGUUCACAACCAGCCUUUACUACUGUGGAUGCUACAACAUCUGCUGUUAGUUUACAACCUCCAGAACUUGUUAUAACUCGAGAGACGGUGCAUGAAAUGAUUGUGAGUGCUUUUUCAGCUUUUGGUCUUCAAGGUAAUGGUUCUUCCUCUAUUUCUUGCAUCUUAGACUCGGGCGCCUCAAAUCAUAUGACUAAUACUCUCCAUAGAUUAAGUAAUAUCAGAAAGUAUGUUAGCUCAUCACAUAUUCAAACAGCCAAUGGUAAUGCUCUACCCAUUGUGGCAGUUGGUGAUGUAUCAUCUAACUUUAAUGAUGUUCUUGUGUCACCAAAUCUCUCUGUGAAUUUGAUAUCUGUCGGCAAGCUUGUGGACCAAAACUAUAAUGUACAUUUUACUAAUGAUGGUUGUAUUGUACAGGAUCGGAUGUCAGGGCAGGUGAUAGUGAAGGGGCCUAAGCACGGACGUCUCUUUUCUCUGCAAUUACCUGUUCCACGUAGCUUAUCUUCCUUAGUCCUAUCUUUACUUUGUAAUGAGUCUAAAGUGUCAAAUGAAGUUUGGCAUAAGCGUCUUGGCCAUCCUAAUUCUAGGAUUCUAUCUUAUUUAUUGAAAUCUGGUCUGUUAUCUGAUAAAGAGUAUUCUUCUUCCACUAUUUUUCCUGUGUGUACAACUUGCAGACUGGGCAAAAGUAAGAUUUUACCUUUUCCUUCUGAAGGAAGUAGAGCAACUUACGCAUUUGAAAUAAUUCAUAGUGAUGUUUGGGGUAUUAGUCCUAUCAUUUCUCAUGGUCAAUACAAAUAUUUUGUGACGUUUAUCGAUGACUACAGUAGAUAUACGUGGGUUUACUUCUCGCAACACAAAUCAGAAGUUUGUUCUAUGUUCAAACUAUUCUUAGCUUUUGUAACACCCAAUUUUCAGCCACUAUCUGACUCGGGUGGGGAAUAUAUGUGUCAUGAGUUCCAAUCUUUCUUGCAAUCUAAAGGAAUUAUCUCUCAACGCUCUUGUCCAUACACUCCACAACAAAAUGGACUUGCCGAAAGAAAAAAUCGCCAUCUUUUAGAUGUUGUAAGGACCUUGCUCAUUGAGUCUUAUGUUCCUCCAAAGUUUUAGGUAGAAGCACUUGCUACAACAACUUUUCUUAUAAGGACCUUGCUCAUUGAGUCUUAUGUUCCUCCAAAGUUUUAGGUAGAAGCACUUGCUACAACAACUUUUCUUAUCAAUAGACUCCCUUCCCAAGUUCUAAAUUUUCAGUCUCCAUAUUUCAAACUUCAUCAUCGCAAUCCUACCUACUCAAAUCUACACACUUUUGGGUUUUUGUGUUUUAUGCAUCUUCCUUCACCAGACAGGAACAAGCUUUCUACUCAGUCCGUACGUUGUGCGUUCUUAGUAUAUAGUGUCACAUAAAAAGGGUAUUUAUGCUAUGAUCCAAACUCUAAUAAGGUUCUGUUUCACGAAAUGUGCUCUUUUGUGAAAAUCAAUGGUUCUUUCCUAUGUCUUCAUCAAAGAAUCCUUCUCUUUCUCUCUUACCUUCUUUUGAUGACACCUCUAGUGCUCCUAAUAAUCAGGUUGAAAGGAAUAAGCCUGGUAUGGUCUAUGAGCGAAGACUUCAAGUGCUGCCCCCUUCUGCUCCUGCCUUACCAUCUGCUCCCUUGCGCCGCUCCUCUAGAGUUUCUGGUCCUCCUGACUGUUAUGGAUUUGAGUCACUUAUGGUAUGUACCUACAAUUCUGCACUCUCGGCCACUAUAUCCUCUAUUGUUAUUCCUACCGGUUACUCACAAGCAGUUAAAGAAAAAUGUUGGCAGCAGGCCAUGAAGGAGAAACUAUGUGCUCUUGAAGCUAAUAAGACUUGGGAAUUGGUAGAUUGUCCAGCAGGUGUGACUCCACUUGGUUGUAAGUGGGUCUAUUCUAUUAAGGUUAAAUCUGAUGGUAGUUUGGACAGAUAUAAGGCCCGCUUAGUAGCUCUUGGAAAUAAUCAAGAAUAUGGUGUGAAUUAUGAUGAGACUUUGGCUCCGAUAGCUAAAAUGACCACUAUCCGCACUAUAUUGGCUAUUGCUGCUUCUCAAAAUUGGGGUUUACAUCAAAUGGAUGUGAAGAAUGCAUUUCUUCACAGAGAUCUCAAGGAAGAUGUUUAUAUGCGUCCUCUAGCUGGCUUACUUUCCGCUCCUACUUCUGCUGUGUGCAAGUUACGUCGAUCUUUGUACGGUCUUAAGCAAGCCCCCCGUGCUUGAUAUGAGAAAUUUGUCUCUACUCUACUCAAACUUGCUUUUCUCAAAAGCAAGUAUGAUGCAUCUUUAUUUCUUCGCAAAACUAAGUCUGGUAUUAUGGUUAUCUUAGUGUAUGUGGACGAUAUAAUUAUCACGAGUACAGAUUCAGUUCUGAUUUCCCAAUCAAAACAGCAUUUAAAGGACUCAUUUCACAUCAAGGAUCUCGGCUCUCUCACAUAUUUUCUUGGUCUAGAAAUUAUUGCUGAUUCACGUGGUACUUUUCUGUCACAACAUAAGUAUGCCAAAGACUUGGUGGCUGCUGCUGGUCUCCAGCACUCUACACCUCUUGAAACUCCCAUGAAAAUUAAUCUCAAGCUACGCAAAGAUGAGGGUGACCUGUUAUUAGACCCCACAACCUAUCGCACUCUUGUUGGCAACUUGGUAUAUCUGACAAUCACUAGGCCCGAUAUCUCUUAUGCAGUCCAGCAGGUUUGUCGGUACAUGGAUUCUCCUCGACAUCUCCAUAUGGCCGCAGUUCGAAGAAUCAUCAAAUAUGUUCAAGGUACAUCCUUGCGGGAACUUUUUUACCCUACAGGUACCUCACUUGAUCUUGUCGAGUAUAGUGAUGCUGAUUAUGCCGAAUGUAGUGAUACUCGACGUUCUACCACUGGCUGGUGUAUGUUUCUUGGCCCUUCUCUUAUUUCCUGGAAAAGCAAGAAACAAGACAUUGUCUCCAAGUCCUCUACUGAGUCCAAAUAUCGGGCUAGGUCACAAGCUUAUGCUGAGAUACAUUGGCUCCGUGGUCUACUAGAUGAGCUUGGAUUUCCUCCAUGCGGUCCUACUCCUCUUAAUGUGGAUAAUACUAGUGCCAUCUACAUUUCAGCCAAUCCUAUCUUUCGUGAACGCACUAAACAUAUCGAGGUGGAUUGCCACUUCAUCCGUGAGGCGUUUGAGGCUCAGAUUAUUUCUCUCCCCCAUGUGUCAAGCAAUCUUCAAGUGGAAGAUAUUUUCACUAAAGCUCUUACGAGUCAACAACAUAAUUUUCUUACAAACAAAUUGAUGCUGAUUGAUAAACCCGCAUCAAUUUGAGGAGGGAUGUCGACAGAAAGCAACAUAUCAGGGCAUAAAUUCUGUGAUUGACUCAUCAAUAGAAAGCAACAUAUCAAGGGCAUAAAUUCUGUAAUUGACUCAUUAAAUUCUGUGAUUGACUCAUCAAUAGAAAGCAACAUAUCAAGGGCAUAAAUUCUGUAAAUUGACUCAUUAAUCUAGGCUGUAAAUAGGAGAAGAGAUUUAGCUUAUCAUAUGUAAGUUACCAGAUAUAACUCCCUAAAAUCACUCUAUGUAAUUAGCAUGUAUAGUUUAAGUUUCCUUGUAUAGUGGUUAAUUUUGCCUAUAUAAAUGAAAGACUUUCUCAGAAGAGAAGACAAUUUGAACCAUUUUGAUAAUUAACAGGGGUAGGCUUACUCAUAAAUUGACAAUUACCCAAAAAUCCUAUCUUGAUAGAGUAAUAACUAAAUUUGGCAUGAAAGGAUUCUAAAUCUACAUUCCAUAUCUAACUUAUAAGAGGAAAUCACUUUGUGCAAAGCAGCAAAUGACAAUCAAAAGAAUUAAUAGAACUAUGUACCAUCUCAUAUCUAGAGUAUGUAACCUUCUAAUUAACAAAUUAAUGAGUGCCUAAUGAUGUUGAUAAACAAACAUAAAU